This is a non-coding RNA of Drosophila melanogaster (fruit fly), 1082 nucleotides long. NCBI's taxonomy places the organism in Eukaryota, Metazoa, Arthropoda, Insecta, Diptera, Drosophilidae. The record is from Ensembl.
CACAAUCACUGCGAGUUCGCUAAACUAUUUAGCAUGAGAAGCCCAUCGAAUCCGCCCACUUAAGCGUACAACUUAAAAUAUUUACACAGUAUCCCAACUGUCCGCACCGUCGAAAAGUCGCUAGUCUUGUGUGAAAUCCCAAUCCAGCUCCACUUUGGCAUUCCUCGUUUCCCCAUAGGUGUGCUCAGAGCCAGAGCAGGCGUUGAUCCCAGGCCUGCGGCUGGGCCAAAUCUCAGAGACCCGUGUGGCUCGUCUGCAGCUGCUCGAUGGAGAUGGAUAGCUGUUCCAGGCGCUGCAUCAGCUGCAGCAUGUUCUCCUGCGCCUUGUUGGUGUUGAACUCGUUGCCGUGCUCCAGCGAAUCCUCCUCGGCGGCAGCCAGUUCGAAAUGCAAUUUGGCCAGGCUCUCCUGCUGCUCGCGAAUCUUGGUCAUCUGGUCCAUUGUGCAGCCGGAGCCUGCUGGGAAAAAGGCAAAGGAUUGGCAAACCUUAAAGGUGACAAGUUGCAGACUGCACUAACCGAAUGCCCUCAGCUUGCCGGAGUGAAAGUCGUCCAGCAGUCCGAGGAGAGCUCUUUCCAUGUGCUUAACAUCGGGAACUUCGGAGACAAAGGAAUGAUGUUUUAUUGGACGAUCGUCGAACUUAUCGCUGUGGGCACUGGCGUUUGGCAUCGACGCUGUGGGAUUCUUGCGGCGCUGCAAUCGCGGUGUGUUCUGAUUGCUAUUGCUGUGCUGAUUGUUAUUGUUGGGUUUCGUGCUAUCGUUGUUGUUGUUCUUGGGGGUGUUGUGAUUGUCUGUGGCUGUGGGAUCAGGUGCUAGCCACUCGCUGCUCACCAAGGUGAUGGCGUUCAGGCUGUUGGCACUGUUGGUGGUGGGUUCCAACUCAUCACGAUCUGGUCUCGACAUGAGAUGGUCAACAAAUCAAGUGCGGGAAUAUGGAAGUACAAAUAAUAAAAUAAAAACGAAACGAGGAAAUCAUAAGUAAGAGUUACAUCAAAUGAACUAAAACGGUGCACAAUUGUAAGAUAAGAACAAAUUUAAACUAAAUAAAGGUAUAUUUUGCUAUACAACUACUAUGGUUAUAAGU